UCAGCUAGACCUCCAUGAACUGAAAAUGAAAGAACCAAAAUAGAUAUCAACAGAUAAUUAAAGGAACGUUUGGAAGUUUUUUACCUCAUGCAAACCUCAAACUCUGAACCACUACUGCCUAAAGGAAAUAAAUACUGUGUUAUGACUUUGAAAAAGUGAAGUGGCCAUGUUAGGAGGCCCAGAUGGUAAGGAGCUGAGGGAGGCCUCCAGGAAAUGGCCAGCAAGAAGCCGGCUCCCUCAGCCUUGUAGCUACAAGAAAAUGAAUUCUGCCAGCAAUCUGAGUGAACUUGGAAGCUGAUUCUUCCUCUGUCAAGCCUCCAGAUGAGAAUCUCAGUCACAGCCAACACCUUGACUGCAGUCCUUAGCAGAGGACUCUGCCAAGCUGUGCCAGGACUCCUGACCUGCAGAAAUUGUGAGUUAGUCAUGCUGCUGAAACCCCGAAUGCUCACCCAGAAGAGUUCCUUUGCAGUGAAAGCCUAAGUGAGAUUGCACCUUCAACUGGCAUCACUCCACCUUACAGGAUCCUGAAAGCUUUCAAAUCCACCUCAAGCCCAGGCAGUGUCAAAGAAGGAGAGGAAUUGAAGAAGCAAAAAUAAAUAUUAAAGUACA
Long non-coding RNA from Homo sapiens (human), 609 nucleotides. Ensembl annotates it as testis expressed 41. Its record names the gene TEX41. The record is from Ensembl. Lineage: Eukaryota; Metazoa; Chordata; Mammalia; Primates; Hominidae.